GACGUAGGGCGCGAGCGUUGUCCGGAUUUAUUGGGCGUAAAGAGCUCGUAGGCGGCUUGUCGCGUCGUUCGUGAAAACCCGGGGCUCAACUCCAGAUCUGCGGUGGGUACGGGCAGACUAGAGUGAUGUAGGGGAGACUGGAAUUCCUGGUGUAGCGGUGAAAUGCGCAGAUAUCAGGAGGAACACCGGUGGCGAAGGCGCCACUCUGGGCCGAUACUGACGCUGAGGAGCGAAAGCGUGGGGAGCGAACAGG
This 253-nucleotide ribosomal RNA is filed under the name uncultured bacterium. Its description in RNAcentral is "partial 16S ribosomal RNA". It matches the Rfam family "Bacterial small subunit ribosomal RNA", at positions 524 to 776 of the family's 1533-position model. The record is from RNAcentral.